CUCCGAAACCCUCCCUGCCCCUAUGUGAGGUGCAGGUUUCUGGGGGAGCGAAGGACAAUUCCCCCAGGGUUCCGACGUGAACUGAAGCCCAGGCUAUCCUUGGACUGAGCUGCACCGUGCUGCCCCACGCUUUCUGGCAGAGAAGAGCGCUGGUGUCCCAGGCUCCACCUUGGAAGGGUAA
This 181-nucleotide long non-coding RNA is filed under the name Fukomys damarensis (Damara mole-rat). RNAcentral's name for it is "lncRNA (ENSFDAG00000023857.1)". Lineage: Eukaryota; Metazoa; Chordata; Mammalia; Rodentia; Bathyergidae. The record is from RNAcentral.